ACCACACUUACCGUCUACUAGGCCUACUACUUAACGCAUCUUGUUUGCGCGGUAUGCCGGUGGACGGAGUUCAGAGCUGAUUCAGCCCACCCUCAUAACAAACCCGCGCUACUGCGCGGGUUUUUUU
RNAcentral lists this small RNA (127 nucleotides) under Serratia liquefaciens. RNAcentral describes it as "Leucine operon leader". It matches the Rfam family "Leucine operon leader". Rfam says of the family: At least 6 amino acid operons are known to be regulated by attenuation. Lineage: Bacteria; Pseudomonadati; Pseudomonadota; Gammaproteobacteria; Enterobacterales; Yersiniaceae. The record is from RNAcentral.